This 502-nucleotide ribosomal RNA is filed under the name uncultured bacterium. RNAcentral's name for it is "partial 16S ribosomal RNA". It matches the Rfam family "Bacterial small subunit ribosomal RNA", at positions 30 to 523 of the family's 1533-position model. The record is from RNAcentral.
AUUGAACGCUGGCGGCAUGCCUUACACAUGCAAGUCGAACGGCAGCGCGGGUGCUUGCACCUGGCGGCGAGUGGCGAACGGGUGAGUAAUACAUCGGAACGUGCCCUAGAGUGGGGGAUAACUAGUCGAAAGAUUAGCUAAUACCGCAUACGAUCUACGGAUGAAAGUGGGGGACCGCAAGGCUCCAUGCUCCUGGAGCGGCCGAUGUCUGAUUAGCUAGUUGGUGGGGUAAUAGCCUACCAAGGCGACGAUCAGUAGCUGGUCUGAGAGGACGACCAGCCACACUGGGACUGAGACACGGCCCAGACUCCUACGGGAGGCAGCAGUGGGGAAUUUUGGACAGUGGGGGCAACCCUGAUCCAGCAAUGCCGCGUGUGUGAAGAAGGCCUUCGGGUUGUAAAGCACUUUUGUCAGGAACGAAACGGUGGGGGCUAAUACCUCCUGCUAAUGACGGUACCUGAAGAAUAAGCACCGGCUAACUACGUGCCAGCCGCCGCAGUAA